Molecule: ribosomal RNA, 253 nt
Filed under: uncultured bacterium
Lineage: Bacteria
Description: partial 16S ribosomal RNA
Rfam family: Bacterial small subunit ribosomal RNA
Source: RNAcentral
UACAGAGGGGGCAAGCGUUGUUCGGAAUUACUGGGCGUAAAGGGCGCGUAGGCGGCCUUCUAAGUCGAACGUGAAAUCCCUGGGCUCAACCCAGGAACUGCGUCCGAUACUGGAAGGCUUGAAUCCGGGAGAGGGAUGCGGAAUUCCAGGUGUAGCGGUGAAAUGCGUAGAUAUCAGGAGGAACACCGAUGGCGAAGGCAGGUCUCUGGGCUGCCACUGACGCUCAUGCACGAAAGCGUGGGGAGCAAACAGG